Cygnus olor (mute swan) is the source of this 323-nucleotide long non-coding RNA. RefSeq lists it as uncharacterized. The record is from RefSeq and is a predicted model, not a curated record. The transcript has 3 exons. NCBI's taxonomy places the organism in Eukaryota, Metazoa, Chordata, Aves, Anseriformes, Anatidae.
UUAUCACAAUGAGCAGACGGCCAUGUCAGGAAGGCAUGAGAGCUUCAUUGCACAUUUUAGUGUAUAAGGCUACCAUUUGUCUUUAAGCAGGCGAAAGAACAACGUGGCUGGCAUUUAUCGAGAGAAGACACACAGCACAGCCUUGCAUAAAUAAUGGCACUGGUCCAAGUACAGCUGGGGUGGUUGCCAGCACAACUCCACUGAAGUCAAAGGAAUUGCACCAUGGGUGUUUCCUUAUGCCCUGUGUUGCCCUUCCCCUUCAAGAGCACAAAGGCAUGUGUGCGUAUCAAAGGAGAGAAGUAAAGACGACCACUGUUCUUGCA